RNAcentral lists this non-coding RNA (30 nucleotides) under Rattus norvegicus (Norway rat). Lineage: Eukaryota; Metazoa; Chordata; Mammalia; Rodentia; Muridae. The record is from RNAcentral.
UGACUACUCAUGUGUUGUCAUAGUGACAGC